AGUGAACGCUGGCGGUAGGCCUAACACAUGCAAGUCGAACGGCAGCACAGUAAGAGCUUGCUCUUACGGGUGGCGAGUGGCGGACGGGUGAGGAAUACAUCGGAAUCUACUUUUUCGUGGGGGAUAACGUAGGGAAACUUACGCUAAUACCGCAUACGACCUACGGGUGAAAACAGGGGAUCUUCGGACCUUGCGCGAUUGAAUGAGCCGAUGUCGGAUUAGCUAGUUGGCGGGGUAAAGGCCCACCAAGGCGACGAUCCGUAGCUGGUCUGAGAGGAUGAUCAGCCACACUGGAACUGAGACACGGUCCAGACUCCUACGGGAGGCAGCAGUGGGGAAUAUUGGACAAAGGGCGCAAGCCUGAUCCAGCCAUACCGCGUGGGUGAAGAAGGCCUUCGGGUUGUAAAGCCCUUUUGUUGGGAAAGAAAAGCAGCAGGUUAAUACCCCGCUGUUCUGACGGUACCAAAAGAAUAAGCACCGGCUAACUUCGUG
Molecule: ribosomal RNA, 492 nt
Filed under: uncultured bacterium
Lineage: Bacteria
Description: partial 16S ribosomal RNA
Rfam family: Bacterial small subunit ribosomal RNA
Source: RNAcentral